RNAcentral lists this ribosomal RNA (549 nucleotides) under uncultured stramenopile. RNAcentral's name for it is "SSU rRNA". It matches the Rfam family "Eukaryotic small subunit ribosomal RNA", at positions 602 to 1148 of the family's 1831-position model. The record is from RNAcentral.
UAUUAAAGUUGUUGCAGUUAAAAAGCUCGUAGUUGGAUUUCUGGGGCAAGCUCCUGGUCCGCCGCCUUUGUGCGGUGCUGACUGAGUGCAGCGUUGUCUCAUCCUUGUGGGAAUUCCGGUUUGGGCUUCGUUGUCCGGCCGGCGGAACCGCAUCUUUUACUGUGAAAAAAUUAGAGUGUUCAAAGCAGGCUUACGCUGUGAAUACAUUAGCAUGGAAUAAUAAGAUAGGACUUUGAUUCUGUUUUGUUGGUUGGAGACCAAGGUAAUGAUUAAUAGGGAUAGUUGGGGGUAUUCAUAUUUAAUUGUCAGAGGUGAAAUUCUUGGAUUUAUGAAAGAUGAACUUAUGCGAAAGCAUUUACCAAGGAUGUUUUCAUUAAUCAAGAACGAAAGUUAGGGGAUCGAAGAGGAUUAGAUACCCUCGUAGUCUUAACCAUAAACUAUGCCGACUCGGGAUUGGAGGGCGAUAUGUUAAUGAGCCAUUCAGCACCGUAUGAGAAAUCAAAGUCUUUGGGUUCCGGGGGGAGUAUGGUCGCAAGGCUGAAACUUAAA